RNAcentral lists this long non-coding RNA (203 nucleotides) under Medicago truncatula (barrel medic). RNAcentral's name for it is "long non-coding RNA (MTRU_LNC004249)". The record is from RNAcentral. Lineage: Eukaryota; Viridiplantae; Streptophyta; Magnoliopsida; Fabales; Fabaceae.
AAUGAGGAGCAAAUCAUUGUACAUCAGUGAAAGCAGUACGAGGCGAGAGGCUCGCUUGAUACCUAUGAGAUGAUUACUAGCUUUGUUGCCUAUGUUGAUGAGAAGUUGGGUCAAGAGGUGAUGAGCCCUGAGCAAUGGUCUGCGGCCAUGCGCCAUGUUAGAGAGCAGAUCGCACCGAUAUUGACCAGGAGGCGAGUCCGGAG